Molecule: ribosomal RNA, 228 nt
Filed under: Photobacterium aphoticum
Lineage: Bacteria; Pseudomonadati; Pseudomonadota; Gammaproteobacteria; Vibrionales; Vibrionaceae
Description: partial 16S ribosomal RNA
Rfam family: Bacterial small subunit ribosomal RNA
Source: RNAcentral
UUAAUUGAAGAGUUUGAUCAUGGCUCAGAUUGAACGCUGGCGGCAGGCCUAACACAUGCAAGUCGAGCGGCAGCGACAAUAACAAUCCUUCGGGUGCGUUAUUGGGCGGCGAGCGGCGGACGGGUGAGUAAUGCCUGGGAACAUGCCUUAGUGUGGGGGAUAACCAUUGGAAACGAUGGCUAAUACCGCAUAAUCUCUACGGAGCAAAGAGGGGGACCUUCGGGCCUC